GCCGGGGUGGUGGAAUUGGUAUACACGCAGGGUUUAGGACCCUGUGCCCGUAAGGGCUUGAGGGUUCGAGUCCCUCCUCCGGCACCA
This 87-nucleotide transfer RNA is filed under the name Candidatus Uhrbacteria bacterium CG10_big_fil_rev_8_21_14_0_10_48_11. RNAcentral describes it as "tRNA-Leu". It matches the Rfam family "tRNA". From Rfam's summary of the family: Transfer RNA (tRNA) molecules are approximately 80 nucleotides in length. Their secondary structure includes four short double-helical elements and three loops (D, anti-codon, and T loops). The record is from RNAcentral. Lineage: Bacteria; Candidatus Uhriibacteriota.